Molecule: ribosomal RNA, 254 nt
Filed under: uncultured bacterium
Lineage: Bacteria
Description: partial 16S ribosomal RNA
Rfam family: Bacterial small subunit ribosomal RNA
Source: RNAcentral
GACGGAGGAUGCAAGUGUUAUCCGGAAUCACUGGGCGUAAAGCGUCUGUAGGUGGUUUAAAAAAGUCCACUGUUAAAAAUUGAAGCUUAACUUCAAAGAUGCCGUGGAAACUUUUAAACUUGAGUAUGGUAGGGGUAGAGGGAAUUUCCAGUGGAGCGGUGAAAUGCGUAGAUAUUGGAAAGACCACCAAUGGCGAAGGCACUCUACUGGGCCAUUACUGACACUGAGAGACGAAAGCUAGGGGAGCAAAUGGG